CAAACCAACAGGGAUUGCCUUAGUAACGGCGAGUGAAGCGGCAAAAGCUCAAAUUUGAAAUCUGGCACCUUCGGUGUCCGAGUUGUAAUUUGAAGAAGGUAACUUUGGAGUUGGCUCUUGUCUAUGUUCCUUGGAACAGGACGUCACAGAGGGUGAGAAUCCCGUGCGA
Molecule: ribosomal RNA, 169 nt
Filed under: uncultured Debaryomyces
Lineage: Eukaryota; Fungi; Ascomycota; Saccharomycetes; Saccharomycetales; Saccharomycetaceae
Description: partial 26S ribosomal RNA
Rfam family: Eukaryotic large subunit ribosomal RNA
Source: RNAcentral